RNAcentral lists this ribosomal RNA (465 nucleotides) under uncultured bacterium. RNAcentral's name for it is "partial 16S ribosomal RNA". It matches the Rfam family "Bacterial small subunit ribosomal RNA", at positions 28 to 507 of the family's 1533-position model. The record is from RNAcentral.
GACGAACGCUGGCGGCGUGCUUAACACAUGCAAGUCGAACGGAAAGGCCCUGCUUGCAGGGUACUCGAGUGUCGAACGGGUGAGUAACACGUGGGUGUUCUGCCCUGCACUUCGUGAUAUGCCUUCGAAACUGUGUCUAUUACCGGAUAGAAGCCAUUUUUAGUGUUAUGGUUGGAAAGUUUUUUGGGUGUGGGGUGAGCUCGCGGCCUAUCAGCUUGUUUGUGGGGUAAUGGCCGACCAAGGCGGCGACGGGUAGCCGGCCUGGGAGGGUGGACGGCCAAAUUGGGAAUGGGGUACGGGCCAGACUCCUACGGGGGGCAGCAGGGGGGGAUAUUGGACAAUGGGCGGAAGCCUGAUGCAGCGAAGCCGGGGGGGGGAAGACGGGCUUUGGGUUGUAAAAUCGUUUCGCUAGGGACGAAGCUUUUUGUGACGGUAACUAGAUAAGAAGCACCGGCUAACUACGUG